This 652-nucleotide ribosomal RNA is filed under the name uncultured fungus. Its description in RNAcentral is "eukaryotic LSU rRNA". It matches the Rfam family "Eukaryotic large subunit ribosomal RNA", at positions 40 to 619 of the family's 3401-position model. Lineage: Eukaryota; Fungi. The record is from RNAcentral.
AUAUUAUUAAGCGGAGGAAAAGAAACUAACAAGGAUGCCCUCAGUAACGGCGAGUGAAGCGGGCGAAGCUCAACCUGAAAAUCGGUCACCUAAGCGGGUGUAUCGAAUUGUGGGCUACAGACGUGAGAUCAGUGUGUGACCUAGGUAUAAAUCUUUUGAAACAAGGUAUCAUAGAGGGUGAGAAUCCCGUCUUUGACCUAGAGUUAAUCGCCACGUACGAUCCGCGGUCACAGAGUCGAGUUGUUUGGGAUUGCAGCUCUAAUUGGGUGGUAAAUUUCAUCUAAAGCUAAAUAUCGACGAGAGACCGAUAGCGAACAAGUACCGUGAGGGAAAGAUGAAAAGAACUUUGAAAAGAGAGUUAAAAAGUACUUGAAAUUGCUAAGAGGGAAGCACUGGAAACCAGUCGUUAGACCGGCGUAUAUUCUUACUGUUCGCUCCCGGAUUAUCAUAUUUGUAUGGUGCCCAAAGCCCAAUAAGUGCGAUAUGAAGGUGUGAACGGGUCCUGUAUUGCCGGUCGGAUCAGAAUCAAUUCGUGGCUCGUGAGAGAAAGCUAUGGCAACGGUAGUUCUGUUCGGGGCAACUCGAACGGAAUGAUUAGUGCUGUAGUGCUAUCAUGGGAUGGAUUGAGGUACAAUCGUAAUGCGCACCACUA